RNAcentral lists this ribosomal RNA (94 nucleotides) under Flavobacterium solisilvae. RNAcentral describes it as "Flavobacterium sp. SE-s27 partial 16S ribosomal RNA". It matches the Rfam family "Bacterial small subunit ribosomal RNA", at positions 1 to 91 of the family's 1533-position model. Lineage: Bacteria; Pseudomonadati; Bacteroidota; Flavobacteriia; Flavobacteriales; Flavobacteriaceae. The record is from RNAcentral.
UAUACGAUGAAGAGUUUGAUCCUGGCUCAGGAUGAACGCUAGCGGCAGGCCUAACACAUGCAAGUCGAGGGGUAGAGGAAGCUUGCUUCCUUGA